GUGGUCUUUCUGAAGCGGUCGUUAAGGAGCUCCAUGUUGCCCUGCUCUUCUUCGAGCUCUUCCUCGAGCUGAGCGAUACGAGCCUCCAGCCUCCUCUUCUCAUCCAUCAGAGCAGUCCUUCAGCAAAAGAACAAGAAUCUCCGCCUCCAUCUCUCGGACCUGAAAGGAGGAGCCGAGUCCAUUUGAUGGGCCACUGGGUGUUUGAAGGUCAAAAGCGAACCGGACGUCGCACCUGUUUAACGAGGGCUCGCUUCUUCUCGUCGUUUUGGUCAUCACGGCUCUGAAGAUCACGCUCGUACUGAGCCUUCAUGGCCUGCAUGUUGACCUCCAGCCGCAGCUUGGCGUCCUCGGUGGCCUGCAGCUCGUCCUCCAGCUCCUCAAGUUGAGUCUUCAUCUCCUCCAGCUGCUGCUCCAGAGUGCGCUUGGAUUUCUCCAGCUCGUGAACCUGAGGAGCGCGACGGAUGUAAAGAUGGCAAAUGGAUUUUACGGGUUCGCUAAGACUUACAUUCUUGCCCACGUCGUCCUUGGAGUUCAUCAGAUCUUCCAUUUCGGCACGGAGCUGCUUGUUGACCCUCUCCAGCUCGUCUUUGGCCUCCAGGGCUUCAUCCAGCGCUCUGGUCAUGGACAGAGCUUUGGUCUCCUUCUCCCUGGCCUCAGCUUCCGCCCGGUCACGCUCUUCAGCAUAGCGAGCUGAAAUGCUCUUCUCCUCAGCCAGCAACUAGAGGAAGAACGAUAUUGAUAUUUGGACAUUAGCAAAAUCAAAAUUGGCUCCCCAGUGGACGUCUCACCUGGUCAAACUUCUUCUGUUUCUUCUCCAGGUUGGACACACUCUGCCUCUGAUGAUCCAAGUCAACGGUGAGAUCAUCCAGCUCCUGCUGCAGACGAGUUUUUGUCUUCUCCAUCUUCUCAAAAGCGAUGGUCUUCUCCUCCAGACGCUGGCCUGACAUCUCCAAAUCCUUUUGCAGCUUCUUCUUUGCCUCCUCCAGGCCGUCUAUUGUCCCCACGUCAUCCUCCAGCUUUUUCUUGCUCUCGGAGAGCUACGGGCAGAAAAAGGAAAGCGGAACUCAAAUUCAGCAUCGACCAGCAAUGUCAGAGACGAUUGAUCUGACCUACCUGAGCCUGUAAGGUCAUCAACUGUUUCUCCAAAUUUUUGCGGGCCACCUCAUCCUCCUCUUGCUGCUCCUGGAUGGCAUUCUUCUCCUCCUCUAACUGGCGCAUGCGGCUGCUGAGGUUCAGUUUUUGACGCGUCUCCUCUUGGAGCAGCUCCUACGAGAAAAUAUGAUCCAUCCUCUGGUCAAGUCACAUUUCAUUUUCCCAUCCAUAGUGAAAGUUAUGGUGGAGCACCUGUGUGUCUUGGAGCUGACUUUCCAGUCCAGCGACAUCUUUUGUCAUCUUGAUGCCUUUUCUCUCUGCAUCUUCCAACAUGGCGGACACAUUGUCGAGCUCAGUCUGAACGAAGAAAUGAUCCGUUUAUUGGUCGGAACGUCGAUUACGAAAUACCGAGACCUGGACGAAGCGACACAAUGAACUUCACCUGCAGUUUGUGCGCGCGUUCGGCCAGCUCGGCCUUGGUCCGCUCGCCUUCCGUGUUUCUGGCAGUGACCUCCUGCAGCUGAGACUCCAGUUUCUUCCUCUUGUGCUCUGACUCGGUUUUUGCUUGUUGAAGGCUUUUGACCUCGCAAGCCAUUUCCUUGUUGGCGCUCUCCUGGCUCUGCUUGGUCUUCUCGAGAUUAGCUUUGAACUACAGAGGAAACGUUAGUGUUCAAAUUUUUAAAAAUAUUUUUUAAAUAAAUGUUCAGGGAAGUCACCGCACCCUCUUGGCCUGUUCGAGCUGCUCGGAGAUCUCUUCCAAAGCAGAGGCAUGCCUCUGUCGCAUAUCCUGUAUCUGAGCCUCGUGGUUUUUGGACUCCUCCUCAAUGGCCUUCUUCAGCUCUGCAACUUCUUGCUCUCGCUUGGUCCUGAAUCGCACCAAAAAGUUGAAACCUUCUCCAUUUCUGACAAAUCCAGAAAGUGUUACCUUAGCUCCUGCUGAGCAGCCGUUGUAUCCAAGGUGUCUUCCAAUUCUGUCUUUAGGGCCUCCAGUUCUUCACUUAAAUCUCGCUUGAGCUUCUCAGCCUUGUUCCUUGCCUGUUUCUCCAACUCCAUGUCCUCCUGCAGCUCGGACAGUUGGGCCUGGAGCUCUCGCACUUGUUUCAGGGCGUUGUUCCUCUGGUUGACCUCAUCUUCACCCCUGCAAAACAUCAGGCAACAAUAUAUAUAUUCAAAUAUAUUUAACGUUCCAAACUUGUAAUAAUUACAAAUAUUGGACAAAUAAAAUACAAGAUAAAACUAGCAAAGAUAUUAGACAUUUUUUUAAAAUAAAAAAAAUGUAUAUUUAACAUCCAAACUCGUAAUAAUGACUAAUAUUGGACUAAUAAAAUAUAAGAUAAAACUAUUAACGAGCAUUUUUUUUUUUAAAUAAAAAGAAGUGUAUUCUGAUACGUCGCCACUGGGUGGCAGCAGAGACAAAGCUACUGUUCUACAUCAGCCACAUGUGCAUUCUUUUAUGAUGAGACUUUCGCUCCAAAUCCCUUCCCUAAACCACUUCAGUAGUUAUUUAUGGUGAAUAAGUGAGUCAUAUUGAUAAGUUGAAAAUUGCGUGGACAGCUUUAUGCAAGCCAUUUUCCCCCUUCCAAUUGUUUUGUCAGAAGCUUUUUGCAGUCGUUACAUACAGACAUAUCCUGAUGACGAGGUCACCAAUCACACAAUGACACAUUCCAAGAGAGGAAGAAUAGGAAAAUAAAUACUUUGUUGGGUUAGAACCAAGUUAUGAGACUUGAUGUGUAUUCUUAUCUAUACGCUGUCAGUCCAAUAAAAUGCAGCAGGUGAGACAUGUUAAAUAUGGCGACGGUGACCGCCAUCGUGACUCACUAUUAAACUUUAGCUCCGGCUCGGGUAAACAGUAUUUUGUCUUCAUGCCCUACCUUGCCUGAAGCGUUUGCUGCUCGUCCUCUUUCUUAACAAUUUGAGUUUUCAACUCCUCUAUCUGGGCCUGGAGCUCAGUGAUCUGGUCCUGAAAAUCUGUUGUUUCCCCAUCCAGCUUCCUCUUCGCCUUCUCCAGCUCCUGACGGGUCUUUUCUUCCUUUUUAAGCCUCUCUGGAUUAAACGUUGGACCAUGUUAGAAAGUGAUGAACUUCAUUGACAUGGCUAAGGUGGAGCUCCUUUACCUUCCAAGUCGACCAUCAUGAUCUCUUGCUUGUUCUUGACCUUUCCCAGGUUCUUAGCCUUCUCUUCUUCCUCUGCAAGGAAAAUGGUCAUCUCAUUGAUACGAUCCUCCAGUGACUUUUUUUCCUAAAAAAAAAAAAAGGACGUCUUAGGUUGCUUGUGUCAUCAAAAACCCUUUGAGCAUCUUUGCUGUCUCUCACCUUGACAAACUUUGUGUUUUGGUCCUCUAGCAGCAAAAUGUCCUCUUCAUAUUUUUUCAUUUUGGCUUCAGCCGUCACUUUCUCAAGCUGCAGCUUUUGUCGAGCUGCCUCCUCCUCAUCCAGUUGUUCCUCCAGGUCCUACCAAAUGUUUAUUUAGCAAAGUAGAAUAUAACAUUUUGGAGUAAAUAAAAAAAAAAAAAAAAAUGGACACGGCACAAUAUUUAAAGAGGAAUAUGAAAGAAAAAAAUAUUUUUAUUUCUGUAUUGUCACAGGCUUACCUGGAUAUGCGUUUGCAUCUUCUUCUUCUCGUUGACCAUGCCCUGUGCCCUCUCCUCUUCUUCCUCCAGCCUGGACUCAAGGUCAUGAAGAAUCUCCUCCAGUUCUUGUUUCUUAGUAGCCAGGCGAGCUCUCAUUUCCUCUGCCUCUGCAAAGAGCUCAGUCUCUGCCUGCAGCUGCUCUGCUAAGAUGGUUUUCUCCUCUGUUAACUACACAAAGACAAAACACUGAUUGAGCAGGGCAGAAAGUCGAAGUAUUAUUUACAUGAGCAUAUCUGACCUGCUGGUGUUUUUGUUCCAUCUCUACCAGCUGUCCCACCACUUUUGUAUGCUUCUCCUUCACUUUGACCAGCUCUUCAUCUUUAGCUUGCAUCUCCUCCUCUUGUCUGGUGACCUGCAGCAAGGGCUUCACCUGUAUUUGGAUUGGAAUAGAAAGUUGUCAUAUUGAAGUUCUCCAUGGGUCGUUAAAAAAAAACAAGAAACGCACCUUAGUGAAGAGUCUCCACCACUGCCAGUGACGAAGUUUCAAGUAGGCGGCACAAUUUCUUUGGAGAACCUUUAGCGCGCUGAGCUGUUGCUGCUUCUUGGCGAAGGCUCUGAAGCAACGCGCGAGAGAGGAUGAAACGUAGUGGCCAUGUGGUUGCCACAACUCAUCAAGCAGAAAGUGGAAGAGAUGCAACCCUUACUUGCGUGCUAAAUAGCCACGACAAGCAGCCUGGAAGUAAAUAAUAAUGUCCGUGAUCUUCAGGUCCCUCUCUUCCUCCAAGUGGGCCAGCACUCCCGCCCUGAAGAAGAUUUUACUCUGGCCGAUGCGAAACAGGUUGUUGUCAAGCUCCAGUGAUUUGAUCUACCAAAGAGGGAAAUAUUUGGAAAAAAAAGUUUGAGUCCACAAUUAAUAUCUACUGACAAGUUUGUAAUUGUCUGUUUGCUGACCAUUCUCUCGCAGGCCUGCUUGCCGUCCAUAAAGCCUUUGGGGAUGGCGUUAGGAGUGAGAAUCUCAUACCUGGACAAAUUGGAUUGAAUUAGCCACGCUAGCUCCAAUGGAACACAAGCGAUGAAACUGAAAGUAAAGUACCUCUGUCUGAACUCUUGAAAGACAAUACGGUUGGGGAAGCCUUGUCUGCAGAUACGGAUCCCUUCCAGGACUCCAUUACAUCUUAGCUGGUCCAGAACCAGGUGAGGAUCAAGUUUACCAGCCUGGAGGAAGCAGACAAACCAAUGCAUUAUUCAUUUGGAGCGGACAAAAUUGGGGUUGGUGUUCCUCAACGUGGCCAUCAGCUUGGACAGCUGCUCCUUGUAGAGCUGACCCACCGUGCGGAACAUGCCCUUCUUCGUUUUGUACGCGGCGCCGAAUGCCGUCUCGUUCAUGCCGGCAACUUGGUCCAGGCCGACGAUUCGGUCCACUGGUGAUGCCAAAUGUGACUUUGUUAGCAGGAAAUUGAGCAUCAAGCUGUUUCAUAUUAUGGUAUAAAUGCAGGAUAUUGUAUAAUGAAGAUGACAUGGA
Syngnathus typhle (broad-nosed pipefish) is the source of this 5183-nucleotide long non-coding RNA. RefSeq lists it as uncharacterized. The transcript has 3 exons. NCBI's taxonomy places the organism in Eukaryota, Metazoa, Chordata, Actinopteri, Syngnathiformes, Syngnathidae. The record is from RefSeq and is a predicted model, not a curated record.